This 45-nucleotide non-coding RNA is filed under the name Trichobilharzia regenti. The record is from RNAcentral. Lineage: Eukaryota; Metazoa; Platyhelminthes; Trematoda; Strigeidida; Schistosomatidae.
AUCCAGAUGACCAGUCCCAAAUAGGAUGAUAGGCGCAUCCUGGAU